RNAcentral lists this ribosomal RNA (499 nucleotides) under uncultured bacterium. RNAcentral's name for it is "bacterial SSU rRNA". It matches the Rfam family "Bacterial small subunit ribosomal RNA", at positions 218 to 714 of the family's 1533-position model. The record is from RNAcentral.
GUAAGAGAUGGGCAUGCGGCCCAUUAGCUAGAUGGUAAGGUAACGGCUUACCAUGGCAACGAUGGGUAGGGGGCCUGAGAGGGAGAUCCCCCACACUGGUACUGAGACACGGACCAGACUCCUACGGGAGGCAGCAGUGAGGAAUAUUGGACAAUGGAGGCAACUCUGAUCCAGCCAUGCCGCGUGCAGGAAGACUGCCCUAUGGGUUGUAAACUGCUUUUAUACAGGAAGAAACAAUUCUACGUGUAGAAUCUUGACGGUACUGUAAGAAUAAGGAUCGGCUAACUCCGUGCCAGCAGCCGCGGUAAUACGGAGGAUCCAAGCGUUAUCCAGAAUCAUUGGGUUUGAAGGGUCCGUAGGUGGAUAAUUAAGUCAGAGGUGAAAUCCUGCAGUUCAACUGUAGAAUUGCCUUUGAUACUGGUUGUCUUGAGUUAUUAUGAAGUAGUUAGAAUAUGUAGUGUAGCGGUGAAAUGCAUAGAUAUUACAUAGAAUACCAAUU